Molecule: ribosomal RNA, 225 nt
Filed under: uncultured eukaryote
Lineage: Eukaryota
Description: partial 18S ribosomal RNA
Rfam family: Eukaryotic small subunit ribosomal RNA
Source: RNAcentral
GGAAAUCUCACCAGGCCCGGACACUGGAAGGAUUGACAGAUUGAUAGCUCUUUCUUGUUAGCAAUAACAGGUCUGUGAUGCCCUUCUUAGUUGGUGGAGUGAUUUGUCUGGUUAAUUCCGUUAACGAACGAGACCUUAACCUGCUAACUAGUUUAUAUUCUCACAGAGUAUAAUACUUCUUAGAGGGACUAUAUAUGUUAAGUAUAUGGAAGUUUGAGGCAAUAA